GGGCGAUUAGCUCAGUUGGUUAGAGCNCCUGCUUUACACGCAGGNAGUCGGGGGUUCGAGUCCCUCAUCGCCCACCA
RNAcentral lists this transfer RNA (77 nucleotides) under Chloroflexota bacterium. RNAcentral's name for it is "tRNA-Val". It matches the Rfam family "tRNA". From Rfam's summary of the family: Transfer RNA (tRNA) molecules are approximately 80 nucleotides in length. Their secondary structure includes four short double-helical elements and three loops (D, anti-codon, and T loops). Lineage: Bacteria; Bacillati; Chloroflexota. The record is from RNAcentral.